AGAGUUUGAUCCUGGCUCAGGAUGAACGCUGGCGGUCUGCUUAACACAUGCAAGUCGAACGCAACCUUCGGGUUGAGUGGCGGACGGGUGAGUAACGCGUGAGAAUCUGCCUUAGGGUCGGGGACAACCACUGGAAACGGUGGCUAAUACCGGAUAAGCCGAUUGGUGAAAGAUUUAUUGCCCGAAGAGGAGCUCGCGUCUGAUUAGCUAGUUGGUGAGGUAAGAGCUCACCAAGGCAGCGAUCAGUAGCUGGUCUGAGAGGACGACCAGCCACACUGGGACUGAGACACGGCCCAGACUCCUACGGGAGGCAGCAGUGGGGAAUUUUCCGCAAUGGGCGAAAGCCUGACGGAGCAAGACCGCGUGAGGGAGGAAGGCUCUUGGGUUGUAAACCUCUUUUCUCAGGGAAGAAGCUCUGACGGUACCUGAGGAAUCAGCCUCGGCUAACUCCGUGCCAGCAGCCGCGGUAAUACGGAGGAGGCAAGCGUUAUCCGGAAUUAUUGGGCGUAAAGCGUCCGCAGGUGGCGAUUCAAGUCUGCUGUCAAAGCACGGGGCUUAACUCCGUUAAGGCAGUGGAAACUGAAUAGCUAGAGUGCCGUAGGGGUAGAGGGAAUUCCCGGUGUAGCGGUGAAAUGCGUAGAGAUCGGGAAGAACAUCGGUGGCGAAAGCGCUCUACUGGAC
This 681-nucleotide ribosomal RNA is filed under the name uncultured bacterium. Its description in RNAcentral is "bacterial SSU rRNA". It matches the Rfam family "Bacterial small subunit ribosomal RNA", at positions 8 to 734 of the family's 1533-position model. The record is from RNAcentral.